Molecule: long non-coding RNA, 102 nt
Organism: Hippocampus comes (tiger tail seahorse)
Lineage: Eukaryota; Metazoa; Chordata; Actinopteri; Syngnathiformes; Syngnathidae
Exons: 3
Source: RefSeq, a predicted model, not a curated record
ACAUCUCUUACAACUAUAUACAUGCCGAUUACAUAGAGCAAAAAUUUGAGCUCAAGCUCUUACCCGCCCUUGGCAAUGCCAUAUUUGAUGGCCUGAUCCAAC